RNAcentral lists this ribosomal RNA (465 nucleotides) under Vreelandella stevensii. RNAcentral describes it as "partial 16S ribosomal RNA". It matches the Rfam family "Bacterial small subunit ribosomal RNA", at positions 338 to 795 of the family's 1533-position model. The record is from RNAcentral. Lineage: Bacteria; Pseudomonadati; Pseudomonadota; Gammaproteobacteria; Oceanospirillales; Halomonadaceae.
CCUACGGGGGGCUGCAGUGGGGAAUAUUGGACAAUGGGGGGAACCCUGAUCCAGCCAUGCCGCGUGUGUGAAGAAGGCCCUCGGGUUGUAAAGCACUUUCAGUGAGGAAGAACGCCUGGUGGUUAAUACCCAUCAGGAAAGACAUCACUCACAGAAGAAGCACCGGCUAACUCCGUGCCAGCAGCCGCGGUAAUACGGAGGGUGCGAGCGUUAAUUGGAAUUACUGGGCGUAAAGCGCGCGUAGGUGGCUUGAUAAGCCGGUUGUGAAAGCCCCGGGCUCAACCUGGGAACGGCAUCCGGAACUGUCAAGCUAGAGUGCAGGAGAGGAAGGUAGAAUUCCCGGUGUAGCGGUGAAAUGCGUAGAGAUCGGGAGGAAUACCAGUGGCGAAGGCGGCCUUCUGGACUGACACUGACACUGAGGUGCGAAAGCGUGGGUAGCAAACAGGAUUAGAUACCCCGGUAGUC